This 506-nucleotide ribosomal RNA is filed under the name Ruegeria sp. Its description in RNAcentral is "bacterial SSU rRNA". It matches the Rfam family "Bacterial small subunit ribosomal RNA", at positions 379 to 903 of the family's 1533-position model. The record is from RNAcentral. Lineage: Bacteria; Pseudomonadati; Pseudomonadota; Alphaproteobacteria; Rhodobacterales; Roseobacteraceae.
CACCCUGAUCCAGCCAUGCCGCGUGAGUGAUGAAGGCCUUAGGGUCGUAAAGCUCUUUCGCCUGUGAAGAUAAUGACGGUAGCAGGUAAAGAAACCCCGGCUAACUCCGUGCCAGCAGCCGCGGUAAUACGGAGGGGGUUAGCGUUGUUCGGAAUUACUGGGCGUAAAGCGCACGUAGGCGGACUGGAAAGUUGGGGGUGAAAUCCCAGGGCUCAACCCUGGAACUGCCUCCAAAACUAUCAGUCUAGAGUUCGAGAGAGGUGAGUGGAAUUCCGAGUGUAGAGGUGAAAUUCGUAGAUAUUCGGAGGAACACCAGUGGCGAAGGCGGCUCACUGGCUCGAUACUGACGCUGAGGUGCGAAAGUGUGGGGAGCAAACAGGAUUAGAUACCCUGGUAGUCCACACCGUAAACGAUGAAUGCCAGUCGUCGGGUAGCAUGCUAUUCGGUGACACACCUAACGGAUUAAGCAUUCCGCCUGGGGAGUACGGUCGCAAGAUUAAAACUCA